UCCUGGCUGGCUCAGUUGGUAGAGCGUGUGACUCUUGACCUCCAGGUUGUGGGUUCAAGCCCCCACGUUGGGCG
Molecule: transfer RNA, 74 nt
Filed under: Felis catus (domestic cat)
Lineage: Eukaryota; Metazoa; Chordata; Mammalia; Carnivora; Felidae
Rfam family: tRNA
About the family: Transfer RNA (tRNA) molecules are approximately 80 nucleotides in length. Their secondary structure includes four short double-helical elements and three loops (D, anti-codon, and T loops).
Source: Rfam by way of RNAcentral